CAAGAUCGAAAAGAUUGCAUUAGAUGGAUGCCCGGGCAUUGAGUAGGAAGGACGCUUUCGGAAGCAAAAGGCCAUGGGGAGAUACCGUUUGUGAACCAUGGAUCUCCGAUCGGGAAACCGUAUCCAAGCUCCGUGGCUAGUUUGCGCUCUUUGGACUUUUCAAACUUAGCAAACUGGAACAUCUUAGUAGCUAAAGGAAGGAAAAUCAACCGAGACCCCGUUAGUAGCGGCAAGCGAGAGCGUAUUGGGGGUUUGAAGAAAAACAAACACGAAGCUUAGUUCCUCAUCAAAGUGUUCACUUCUUUUUCGCCAGGUUUCAUUCGAUUUGUUGUGGAUUGGAUGAUGGAAAAACCAGCAAGCUAAGACUUCAAAUCUUACCUUAUUUAGAAAAGGAGAAAGGGCUUUUUUUUUAUAUAUGUUGAGGUUGAGUAAGGGGGCGGAGCUUGAAGACCGAAGCGAGCCGCGCUAGCCUAGCAACGUUUUUCAGCAGCAAGCUACGGUCUAAAGACCCCCUAACCUAGGUUGGGGCAAAAACUCAAAAAUCCAAAAUGUUAGUUAGGGUUCUAAACCUUUCUCUAAUAAUAAGGUAAGCUUUCAAGCCACCACCCUUUAACGGAGCAGGCAUAGUGAACUGUAAUUGUCAAAAGAUUAGAAGAUCUGGCCAAAGAAGAUGAUAGCCCUGUAGAUUUGUUCCCAUGGUUCGAUCCUUCCCGGUAAAAUGCAGUGUGUUCAAACUCUGAUCGCUUUUAUGCGAGAAAGGGGGAACACCCUCUAAGCCUAAGUAUUCCUCAAUAACCCAUAGCGUACAAGUACCGUGAGGGAAAGGUGAAAAGAACCCUAUUUAGGGAGUGCAAUAGAGAACUUGAGACCCGAUUCGAACAAUCAGCUGAAGGACCGGAGCUUAAAACCUUUAGUUUAUGUAAAGCGCACUCACUCUAAUGGCGUACCUUUUGCAUGAUGGGUCAGCGAGGAAAUGGGAACAGCGGCUUAAGCCAUUAGGUGUAGGAGCUUUCCAGAGGUGGAAUCUUCUAGUUCUUCAUAUUUGACCCGAAAUCGAUCGAUCUAGCCAUGAGCAGGUUGAAGAGAGCUCUAACAAGCCUUGGAGGACUGAACCCACGUAUGCGACAAAUACAGGGAUGACUUGUGGCUAGGGGUGAAAGUCCAACCAAGAUCGGAUAUAGCUGGUUUUCCGCGAAAUCUAUUUCAAUAGAGCGUAUGAUGUUGAUGGCCCGAGGUAGAGCACUCAAUGGGCUAGGGUGGCCUCAUUUUGCCUUACCAACCCAGGGAAACUCCGAAUACAGGCCUAGAUCGUUUGUACAAACAGACUUUUUGGGUGCUAAGAUCCAAAGUCGAGAGGGAAACAGCCCAGAUCGUAUGCUAAGGUCCCUAAGCAAUCACUUAGUGGAAAAGAAAGUGAUUGAGCCAUGACAACCAGGAGGUGGGCUUGGAAGCAGCCAUCAUUUGAAGAAAGUGUAAUAGCCCACUGGUCUAGCUUCAUGGCACCAAAAAUGUAUCAGGGCUCAAGUGAUUCACCGACGCGACGAGACCUUGAAAGCUGCUUUUUCAAGUGUUAGUAGCGGAAAGUUCUGUCAAUCAGGAAGGUUUUUGGUGGCAAGACCUGGAGAUAUCAGAAGUGAGAAUGCUGAUAUGAGUAACAAAAAAUUCUGUGGAAAACACGAUCGCCUGUCAAUGGAAGUUUUUCUGCGUUCCGUCAAUCUACGCAGAGUGAAUCAGUCCCUAUGGAACCAACGAAAGGGCUGUUGUCCGAUGGGUACAUGAAAGUGACGAAGUUGCUUUGAUUACAGAACCAUGCCUGUCUGUUAGAGCGAAUUGGAUGAAAGGGCCGAGGGCUUCCCCAUCUUCCCCCCCCCCCCCUACCUCCCCCCCCCCCCAACUCUCAUUUCCCUAAUAUGAACCUUGAGUCAUUAAAGCCUUUCUAACUCGGCCUGGCCCGGUAGCCCUACGCGACUGGCGCUUCAAAAGGCAAAGCUCUCGGUCGUAGUUUGGCGACCUAUCUUUAGUAGGGGUCUUUAGUCUUUUGAUUAGAGUAGGGGUCGCGAGAGAGCAGAGCGUACCGCCCUACCAUAAUCACGCAUCUGUUUAUAGUCGCGACUGUUGUCAUAGUCAACAAGGUUGAAACUUCCAGGAAAAAACUUUAAAUUGGGAGGGAAAUCCUCCCGGUGAACUGAACAUACCCCAAACUGGCACAUGUGAACAAGUAGAGUAUACUAGGGCGCUUGAGAGAAGCAUGUCGAAGGAACUCGACAAAAUGACCCCGUAACUUCGGGAGAAGGGGUGCUCUCCUAUCUUUUGAUUAGGAAAGCGGCACAUACCAGGGGGUAGUAAGUGUUUAUUAAAAACAUAUAAGUCUGCUUAGUGGUAACACAAUGUAUAGAGUCUGACACCUGCCCGGUGCUGGAAGGUCGAAAGGAGAACUGUUAUAAGCUGAAUGGAACCCCCGGUAAACAACGACAGUAACUCUAACUGUCCUAAGGUAGCGAAAUUUUUUGUCGCAUAAGUAGCGACAUGCAUGAAUGGUGUAACGACUAUGGACCUGGUACUUCUGGCAACAACAUCCUUUCUUUCUGAAACCGAAUCACGAACUCUCGCACUAGUUCGGAUUCUCCUUGGGCGAUUCUGAA
Ribosomal RNA from Nicotiana attenuata, 2642 nucleotides. It matches the Rfam family "Bacterial large subunit ribosomal RNA". The record is from Rfam. Lineage: Eukaryota; Viridiplantae; Streptophyta; Magnoliopsida; Solanales; Solanaceae.